Molecule: ribosomal RNA, 253 nt
Filed under: uncultured bacterium
Lineage: Bacteria
Description: partial 16S ribosomal RNA
Rfam family: Bacterial small subunit ribosomal RNA
Source: RNAcentral
UACAGAGGUCUCAAGCGUUGUUCGGAUUCAUUGGGCGUAAAGGGUGCGUAGGUGGUUGCGUAAGUCUGGUGUGAAAUCUCGGAGCUCAACUCCGAAAUUGCAUUGGAUACUGCGCGACUAUAGGACUGUAGAGGAGAGAGGAAUUCACGGUGUAGCAGUGAAAUGCGUAGAUAUCGUGAGGAAGACCAGUUGCGAAAGCGUCUCUCUGGGCAGUUCCUGACACUGAGGCACGAAGGCCAGGGGAGCAAACGGG